This 492-nucleotide ribosomal RNA is filed under the name uncultured bacterium. RNAcentral describes it as "partial 16S ribosomal RNA". It matches the Rfam family "Bacterial small subunit ribosomal RNA", at positions 29 to 507 of the family's 1533-position model. The record is from RNAcentral.
AGUGAACGCUGGCGGUAGGCCUAACACAUGCAAGUCGAACGGCAGCACAGUAAGAGCUUGCUCUUACGGGUGGCGAGUGGCGGACGGGUGAGGAAUACAUCGGAAUCUACUUUUUCGUGGGGGAUAACGUAGGGAAACUUACGCUAAUACCGCAUACGACCUACGGGUGAAAGCAGGGGAUAUUCGGACUUUGCGCGAUUGAAUGAGCCGAUGUCGGAUUAGCUAGUUGGCGGGGUAAAGGCCCACCAAGGCGACGAUCCGUAGCUGGUCUGAGAGGAUGAUCAGCCACACUGGAACUGAGACACGGUCCAGACUCCUACGGGAGGCAGCAGUGGGGAAUAUUGGACAAUGGGCGCAAGCCUGAUCCAGCCAUACCGCGUGGGUGAAGAAGGCCUUCGGGUUGUAAAGCCCUUUUGUUGGGAAAGAAAAGCAGCAGGUUAAUACCCCGCUGUUCUGACGGUACCCAAAGAAUAAGCACCGGCUAACUUCGUG